RNAcentral lists this ribosomal RNA (469 nucleotides) under uncultured eukaryote. Its description in RNAcentral is "partial small subunit ribosomal RNA". It matches the Rfam family "Eukaryotic small subunit ribosomal RNA", at positions 587 to 972 of the family's 1831-position model. The record is from RNAcentral.
AGCUCCAAGAGUGUAUGCUAAUGUUGUUGCAGUUGAAAAGCUCGUAGUCGAUUUUUUCUUCUCCAGAUAAUUACUAAGAAAGUUUUCCCUCUCGGGAGGGCUUUCUUAAUUCUUGAGAAAGAGAUAUUAAUUUUAUUUUCUUUUCUUUUUUGAUUUUUCCCUUGAUUGGGAGUCAAUUUAGAAAUUUAACCAAUAAGAAAAUGAAUUUUACUGUGAAAAAAAGAAAAAGCUUAAAUUUCCAGUACUUUUUUACAACAAAAGUAGCUCAGAAUACAUUAGCAUGGGAUAAAAAAGAUUUGAAAAUUUUUUUAUUUGAAUUGUAUUUGCUUGUUUCAGAUAAAGAUUCUCCAAUAAAAUUUUCAAAGGGAAUAGAGUUGUACGAUGCCAUUUGUAUUGUGGGGAGACAGGUGAAAUUGGUUGACCCUCGCAAGACAAACUGAAGCGCAGGCGUUUGGCAAGUUCAAGCUCA